GCAAUCAGUUAAAACUUUCAACAAUGGACACUUGGUUCCGGCAUGAUGAAGAACGCAGCGAAAUGCGAUAACUAAUGUGAAUUGCAGAAUUCAGUGAAUCAUCGAGUCUUUGAACGCACAUUGCGCCCCCUGGUAUUCCGGGGGGCAUGCCCUGUCCGAGCGUCAUU
RNAcentral lists this ribosomal RNA (167 nucleotides) under Aspergillus niger. RNAcentral describes it as "5.8S ribosomal RNA". It matches the Rfam family "5.8S ribosomal RNA". Rfam says of the family: 5.8S ribosomal RNA (5.8S rRNA) is a component of the large subunit of the eukaryotic ribosome. It is transcribed by RNA polymerase I as part of the 45S precursor that also contains 18S and 28S rRNA. Functionally, it is thought that 5.8S rRNA may be involved in ribosome translocation. Lineage: Eukaryota; Fungi; Ascomycota; Eurotiomycetes; Eurotiales; Aspergillaceae. The record is from RNAcentral.